This 497-nucleotide ribosomal RNA is filed under the name uncultured bacterium. RNAcentral's name for it is "partial 16S ribosomal RNA". It matches the Rfam family "Bacterial small subunit ribosomal RNA", at positions 28 to 507 of the family's 1533-position model. The record is from RNAcentral.
GAUGAACGCUGGCGGCGUGCCUAAUACAUGCAAGUCGAGCGAACGGACGAGAAGCUUGCUUCUCUGAUGUUAGCGGCGGACGGGUGAGUAACACGUGGAUAACCUACCUAUAAGACUGGGAUAACUUUGGGAAACCGGAGCUAAUACCGGAUAAUAUUUUGAACCGCAUGGUUCAAAAGUGAAAGACGGCCUUGCUGUCACUUAUAGAUGGAUCCGCGCUGCAUUAGCUAGUUGGUAAGGUAACGGCUUACCAAGGCAACGAUGCAUAGCCGACCUGAGAGGGUGAUCGGCCACACUGGAACUGAGACACGGUCCAGACUCCUACGGGAGGCAGCAGUAGGGAAUCUUCCGCAAUGGGCGAAAGCCUGACGGAGCAACGCCGCGUGAGUGAUGAAGGUCUUCGGAUCGUAAAACUCUGUUAUUAGGGAAGAACAUAUGUGUAAGUAACUGUGCACAUCUUGACGGUACCUAAUCAGAAAGCCACGGCUAACUACGUG